AUUGAACGCUGGCGGAAUGCUUUACACAUGCAAGUCGAACGGCAGCACGGACUUCGGUCUGGUGGCGAGUGGCGAACGGGUGAGUAACAUAUCGGAACGUAUCCAAUAAUGGGGGAUAACGAGUCGAAAGAUUCGCUAAUACCGCAUACGCCCUACGGGGGAAAGCUGGGGACCUUCGGGCCUGGCGUUAAUGGAGCGGCCGAUAUCUGAAUAGCUAGUUGGUGAGGUAAAGGCUCACCAAGGCGACGAUCAGUAGCUGGUCUGAGAGGACGACCAGCCACACUGGAACUGAGACACGGUCCAGACUACUACGGGAGGCAGCAGUGGGGAAUUUAGGACAAUGGGCGCAAGCCUGAUCCAGCCAUUCCGCGUGAGUGAAGAAGGCCUUCGGGUUGUAAAGCUCUUUCGCAAGGGAAGAAAACUUAGCCACUAACAUUGGUUGAGGUUGACGGUACCUUGAUAAGAAGCACCGGCUAACUACGUGCCAGCAGCCGCCGUAA
This 500-nucleotide ribosomal RNA is filed under the name uncultured bacterium. Its description in RNAcentral is "partial 16S ribosomal RNA". It matches the Rfam family "Bacterial small subunit ribosomal RNA", at positions 30 to 523 of the family's 1533-position model. The record is from RNAcentral.